RNAcentral lists this ribosomal RNA (1444 nucleotides) under metagenome. RNAcentral describes it as "bacterial LSU rRNA". It matches the Rfam family "Bacterial large subunit ribosomal RNA", at positions 1455 to 2925 of the family's 2925-position model. The record is from RNAcentral.
GGACAGAACUGUGGGGACGCAGAAGGAGAGCACGAGCCGGAAAUGGAAAAGCCGGUACAAGCGUAUAGCAGUCAUGCAGGCAAAACCGCAUGAAAAAUGUAAAGCGUUAUGUGGAUCGAACAUUAGUAGAGAAGCGUGUGAGCCAGCUGCCAAGAAAAGCCGCUAUUGCUUCAUAAGUACCCGUACCGUAAACCGACACAGGUGGAUGAGGAGAGAAUCCUAAGGCCGGCGGGAGAAGUGUUGUUAAGGAACUCGGCAGAAUGACUCCGUAACUUCGGGAGAAGGAGUGCCACAGAGAUGUGGCCGCAGAGAAAUGGCCCAAGCAACUGUUUAGCAAAAACACAGGUCUAUGCAAAACCGAAAGGUGAGGUAUAUGGGCUGACGCCUGCCCGGUGCUGGAAGGUUAAGAGGAGAGGUUAGAGCAAUCGAAGCUUUGAAUUUAAGCCCCAGUAAACGGCGGCCGUAACAAUAACGGUCCUAAGGUAGCGAAAUUCCUUGUCGGGUAAGUUCCGACCCGCACGAAAGGCGUAAUGAUUUGGGCACUGUCUCAACAACACACCCGGUGAAAUUGAAAUACCAGUGAAGAUGCUGGUUACCUGCGCCAGGACGGAAAGACCCCAUGGAGCUUUACUCCAGUUUGAUACUGGGAUUCGGUACUGUCUGUACAGGAUAGGUGGGAGGCUAGGAAAUGGUGACGCCAGUUGCCAUGGAGCCAACCUUGGGAUACCACCCUUACAGUACUGGGUUUCUAACCUGCAGCCGUAACCCGGCUGGGGGACAAUGUCUGACGGGGAGUUUGACUGGGCGGUCGCCUCCGAAAGAGUAUCGGAGGCGCUCAAAGGUUCCCUCAGAACGGUUGGAAACCGUUCGAAGAGUGCAAAGGCAGAAGGGAGCUUGACUGCGACACCGACGGGUGGAGCAGAUACGAAAGUAGGACUUAGUGAUCCGGUGGUAUAAAGUGGGAUUGCCAUCGCUCAACGGAUAAAAGCUACCCUGGGAUAACAGGCUUAUCACUCCCAAGAGUUCACAUCGACGGAGUGGUUUGGCACCUCGAUGUCGGCACAUCGCAUCCUGGAGCUGUAGCAGGUUCCAAGGGUUGGGCUGUUCGCCCAUUAAAGCGGUACGCGAGCUGGGUUCAGAACGUCGUGAGACAGUUCGGUCCCUAUCCGGCGUGGGCGUAGGAUAUUUGAGAGGAGCUGUCCUUAGUACGAGAGGACCGGGAUGGACAAACCUCUGGUGUAUCUGUUGUUUUUACCAAAGGCAUGGCAGAGUAGCCAAGUUUGGCAGGGAUAAACGCUGAAGGCAUCUAAGCGUGAAGCCCCCCUCAAGAUAAGAUAUCCCAUCUUCGGAGUAAGACCCCUUGAAGACUACAAGGUUGAUAGGCUUUGUGUGUAAGUGCGGUAACGCACUCAGCUGAGAAGUACUAAUAGGUCGAGGACUUAGC